Molecule: ribosomal RNA, 404 nt
Filed under: Verrucomicrobiota bacterium
Lineage: Bacteria; Pseudomonadati; Verrucomicrobiota
Description: Verrucomicrobia bacterium partial 16S ribosomal RNA
Rfam family: Bacterial small subunit ribosomal RNA
Source: RNAcentral
UGGGGAAUAUUGGACAAUGGGGGGAACCCUGAUCCAGCGACGCCGCGUGAGUGAAGAAGUAUUUCGGUAUGUAAAGCUCUAUCAGCAGGGAAGAAAAUGACGGUACCUGACUAAGAAGCCCCGGCUAACUACGUGCCAGCAGCCGCGGUAAUACGUAGGGGGCAAGCGUUAUCCGGAUUUACUGGGUGUAAAGGGAGCGCAGACGGUUUUGCAAGUCUGAAGUGAAAGCCCGAGGCUUAACCUCGGAGUUGCAUUGGAAACUGUAUAACUAGAGUAUCGGAGAGGUAAGUGGAAUUCCUAGUGUAGCGGUGAAAUGCGUAGAUAUUAGGAGGAACACCGGUGGCGAAGGCGGCUUACUGGACGAAAACUGACGUUGAGGCUCGAAGGCGUGGGGAGCAAACAGG